AUUGAACGCUGGCGGCAGGCUUAACACAUGCAAGUCGAGCGGGGUGAUGGUGCUUGCACUAUCACUUAGCGGCGGACGGGUGAGUAAUGCUUAGGAAUCUGCCUAUUAGUGGGGGACAACAUCUCGAAAGGGAUGCUAAUACCGCAUACGUCCUACGGGAGAAAGCAGGGGAUCACUUGUGACCUUGCGCUAAUAGAUGAGCCUAAGUCGGAUUAGCUAGUUGGUGGGGGAAAGGCCUACCAAGGCGACGAUCUGUAGCGGGUCUGAGAGGAUGAUCCGCAACACUGGGACGGAGACACGGCCCAGACUCCUACGGGAGGCAGCAGUGGGGAAUAUUGGACAAUGGGGGGAACCCUGAUCCAGCCAUGCCGCGUGUGUGAAGAAGGCCUUAUGGUUGUAAAGCACUUUAAGCGAGGAGGAGGCUCUUUUGGUUAAUACCCAAGAUGAGUGGACGUUACUCGCAGAAUAAGCACCGGCUAACUCUGUGCCAGCAGCCGCCGUAA
This 503-nucleotide ribosomal RNA is filed under the name uncultured bacterium. RNAcentral's name for it is "partial 16S ribosomal RNA". It matches the Rfam family "Bacterial small subunit ribosomal RNA", at positions 30 to 523 of the family's 1533-position model. The record is from RNAcentral.